RNAcentral lists this long non-coding RNA (288 nucleotides) under Numida meleagris (helmeted guineafowl). RNAcentral describes it as "lncRNA (ENSNMEG00000012467.1)". Lineage: Eukaryota; Metazoa; Chordata; Aves; Galliformes; Numididae. The record is from RNAcentral.
UGGGAGUUCUAAGACUUUAAACUAUCUUUUCCCUAGGGAGAUAAGAAGUUGUAUAUUGACCCUCUGCUCUGGGACAGGGAGUAUGCUGUCAACAAAUCAGAGAAGUCUUUUCUACUUUAGAGUACGUUACACCUACUACAUCUGAUCGGAAGAAAGCUCACAAGGAUUCUCCGAACAACCAGUGUAAAAAAUUCUGCCUUAUCAGGAUGACUAGAUCUAACUUGUCCUGAAGGCACAGCACUCCUCUUGCUUGGAUGUAAAUCUAGGACAAACUCAAACACUUCUACA